RNAcentral lists this long non-coding RNA (201 nucleotides) under Lathyrus oleraceus (garden pea). RNAcentral describes it as "Pisum sativum (pea) long non-coding RNA (PSAT_LNC008014)". Lineage: Eukaryota; Viridiplantae; Streptophyta; Magnoliopsida; Fabales; Fabaceae. The record is from RNAcentral.
GCUAACACACAUAUGAAAAGCUAAGUAAACUAGGGUUGAAUCGCUUAGGAGAUGUUCAUGUCCCCAGUAGAGUCGCCAUCUGUCACACCUAGGAAAAUGAGAACACGACCUCCCAAAGCGCAAUCGCACGCUCGCGAGAUGGACUUAACAGAGUCACCAUCGAAAUUUAUUUAUUCCCAAAGAAGGAAAGGGGAAAUAUCG